Molecule: ribosomal RNA, 375 nt
Filed under: uncultured organism
Description: partial 16S ribosomal RNA
Rfam family: Bacterial small subunit ribosomal RNA
Source: RNAcentral
GGAGGGGGGCUAGCGUUGUUCGGAAUGACUGGGGGGCGUAAAGGGGCGCGUAGGGCGGGUUUUUUAAGUGAGGGCGUGAAAGCCCCGGGCUUAACCCGGGAAGUGCGUUUCAUACUGGAAAGCUUGAGUGCGAGAGAGGAAAGUGGAAUUCCUAGUGUAGAGGUGAAAUUCGUAGAUAUUAGGAAGAACACCGGUGGCGAAGGCGACUUUCUGGCUCGCAACUGACGCUGAGGCGCGAAAGCGUGGGGAGCAAACAGGAUUAGAUACCCUGGUAGUCCACGCCGUAAACGAUGUGUGCUAGACGUUGGAGGGGAACUUUCAGUGUCGCAGCUAACGCGUUAAGCACACCGCCUGGGGAGUACGGUCGCAAGAUUA